RNAcentral lists this RNase P RNA (402 nucleotides) under Psychrosphaera haliotis. RNAcentral describes it as "Pseudoalteromonas sp. KDW4 Bacterial RNase P class A". It matches the Rfam family "Bacterial RNase P class A". Rfam says of the family: Ribonuclease P (RNase P) is a ubiquitous endoribonuclease, found in archaea, bacteria and eukarya as well as chloroplasts and mitochondria. The record is from Rfam by way of RNAcentral. Lineage: Bacteria; Pseudomonadati; Pseudomonadota; Gammaproteobacteria; Alteromonadales; Pseudoalteromonadaceae.
CGAGAUGGCCAGACAAUCGCUGCUUUAUCGUUGUGUUUUUGAGUUUACUCAUAAGCAGACGGAUAGAGGGGAGGAAAGUCCGGGCUCCAAAGGGCAGAGUGCCAGAUAACUUCUGGGAGGCGCGAGCCUACGACCAGUGCAGCAGAGAGUAUACCGCCGAUGGCUUGGGCAACUAAGCACAGGUAAGGGUGAAAGGGUGCGGUAAGAGCGCACCGCGCGGCUAGUAAUAGUUCGUGGCACGGUAAACUCCACUCGGAGCAAUUUCAAAUAGGGUUCCAGUACUCUUGAAGUACAGGCGUGGCCCACGUCGGAACCGGGUAGAAAGCUUGAGCCAAUAAGCAAUUAUUGGCCUAGACGAAUGAUUGUCCAAGACAAAACCCGGCUUAUCGGCCAUCUCGCACC